This 433-nucleotide ribosomal RNA is filed under the name uncultured bacterium. RNAcentral's name for it is "partial 16S ribosomal RNA". It matches the Rfam family "Bacterial small subunit ribosomal RNA", at positions 29 to 507 of the family's 1533-position model. The record is from RNAcentral.
AACGAACGCUGGCGGCAUGCCUAACACAUGCAAGUCGAACGAAACCUUCGGGUCUUGUGGCGCACGGGUGCGUAACGCGUGGGAACCUGCCCUUAGGUUCGGAAUACCUCCCCGAAAGGGGUACUAAUACCGGAUAAUGUCUUCGGACCAAUGAUUUAUCGCCUUUGGAUGGGCCCGCGUUGGAUUAGCUAGUUGGUAGGGUAAAAGCCUACCAAGGCGACGAUCCAUAGCUGGUCUGAGAGGAUGAUCAGCCACACUGGGACUGAGACACGGCCCAGACUCCUACGGGAGGCAGCAGUGGGGAAGAUUGGAAGAUGGGCGAAAGCCUGAUCCAGUAAUGCCGCGUGAGUGAUGAAGGCCGGAGGGUUGUAAAGCUCUUUUACCCGGGAUGAUAAUGACAGUACCGGGAGAAUAAGCUCCGGCUAACUACGUG